This 364-nucleotide unclassified non-coding RNA is filed under the name Hevea brasiliensis (rubber tree). The record is from RNAcentral. Lineage: Eukaryota; Viridiplantae; Streptophyta; Magnoliopsida; Malpighiales; Euphorbiaceae.
GCCUCCUCUACUGGUGACAUGAAACUUAGACGACAUGCUCGCGAGUAAUUUCUACUGUGAAAUAGUCUAGCACUAGUUUCUGGCUCAAACAACUCCCUGGAAUCCAAUCCUGGUUCUCUAAUUUGUUGUGGCACCACUCUCAGAGGAGAAGCUGAUGGAAGUGAAAUCUCAAUCCCCAUUUCAGUAUUAAGACUACAAAGAUCACUCUGACACAUUUUCAGUGAACCAGAUUCCCCUGUAAGAAACUCUAUUCCAGUUUCUUGCUCAUUUGUAUUUGCAAACAGGGAGCAGGGAUACUUAUCAAUAGAUUCCCCUUUAGGAAUUUGCUGAGACUGAUCUUCAAGAAUUUCACAAAUUAACUUCC